UUCGUUGCUGAUUGAAAUUGCAGAUAUUUUGACAGCAGCACAUGCAAUCUUUCAGUGACAGAAUGAUGGGUCUAUGAAGGCAAGAGAAGUGCUAGAUAUGGUGAUGAAUAUCUACAUCAAGACUAUGACUGAAGAUCAUGACAAGGAAGUUGUUGCAAAUGCGUGUAUGAGGCAUAGCUGAUGUUAUCAAGGAUUAUGGUUAUAUGGCUCUAGAGCCUUAUAUGUCUUUGAUUGU
Molecule: long non-coding RNA, 235 nt
Organism: Hibiscus syriacus
Lineage: Eukaryota; Viridiplantae; Streptophyta; Magnoliopsida; Malvales; Malvaceae
Exons: 5
Source: RefSeq, a predicted model, not a curated record